UGGGGAAUAUUGGACAAUGGGCGAAAGCCUGAUCCAGCCAUGCCGCGUGUGUGAAGAAGGUCUUCGGAUUGUAAAGCACUUUAAGUUGGGAGGAAGGGCAGUAAGCGAAUACCUUGCUGUUUUGACGUUACCGACAGAAUAAGCACCGGCUAACUCUGUGCCAGCAGCCGCGGUAAUACAGAGGGUGCGAGCGUUAAUCGGAUUUACUGGGCGUAAAGCGUGCGUAGGCGGCUAAUUGAGUCGGAUGUGAAAUCCCCGAGCUUAACUUGGGAAUUGCAUUCGAUACUGGUUAGCUAGAGUGUGGGAGAGGAUGGUAGAAUUCCAGGUGUAGCGGUGAAAUGCGUAGAGAUCUGGAGGAAUACCGAUGGCGAAGGCAGCCAUCUGGCCUAACACUGACGCUGAGGUACGAAAGCGUGGGGAGCAAACAGG
RNAcentral lists this ribosomal RNA (429 nucleotides) under Pseudomonadota bacterium. RNAcentral's name for it is "Proteobacteria bacterium partial 16S ribosomal RNA". It matches the Rfam family "Bacterial small subunit ribosomal RNA", at positions 355 to 776 of the family's 1533-position model. The record is from RNAcentral. Lineage: Bacteria; Pseudomonadati; Pseudomonadota.